This is a long non-coding RNA of Alosa alosa (allis shad), 287 nucleotides long. RefSeq lists it as uncharacterized. The transcript has 3 exons. NCBI's taxonomy places the organism in Eukaryota, Metazoa, Chordata, Actinopteri, Clupeiformes, Clupeidae. The record is from RefSeq and is a predicted model, not a curated record.
ACAACAGGUGAGGUUGAGAAUGUACCUGCUGAGAACAGGUGAGGUUGAGAAUGUACCUGCGUACGCUGACAACAGGUGAGGUUGAGAAUGUACCUGCGUACGCUGAGAACAGGUGAGGUUGAGAAUGUACCUGCUGAGAACAGGUGAGGUUGAGAAUGUACCUGCUGAGAACAGGUGAGGUUGAGAAUGUACCUGCGUACGCUGAGAACAGGUGAGGUUCAGAAUGUACCUGCUGAGAACAGGUGAGGUUGAGAAUGUACCUGCUGAGAACAGGUGAGGUUGAGAAU